RNAcentral lists this ribosomal RNA (252 nucleotides) under uncultured bacterium. RNAcentral's name for it is "partial 16S ribosomal RNA". It matches the Rfam family "Bacterial small subunit ribosomal RNA", at positions 524 to 776 of the family's 1533-position model. The record is from RNAcentral.
UACGUAGGGUGCGAGCGUUGCCCGGAUUUAUUGGGCGUAAAGGGCGCGUAGGCGGCCACGCACGUCCGUUGUGAAAUCGCCCGGCUCAACUGGGCGGGGUCAGCGGAUACGGUGUGGCUCGAGCAAGCUAGGGGGCAAUGGAAUUCCCGGUGUAGUGGUGGAAUGCGUAGAUAUCGGGAGGAACACCAGUGGCGAAGGCGGUUGCCUGGAGCUUUGCUGACGCUGGGGCGCGAAAGCGUGGGAGCGAUCCGG